AAUACCUAGUGGCGCACGGGUGAGUAACGCGUGGGAACGUGCCCUUUGGUACGGAAUAACAGCGGGAAACUGCUGCUAAUACCGUAUAUUCUCUUCGGAGGAAAGAUUUAUCGCCAAGGGAUCGGCCCGCGUGAGAUUAGCUAGUUGGUGGGGUAAUGGCCUACCAAGGCGACGAUCUCUAGCUGGUCUGAGAGGAUGAUCAGCCACACUGGAACUGAGACACGGUCCAG
This 230-nucleotide ribosomal RNA is filed under the name uncultured bacterium. RNAcentral's name for it is "partial 16S ribosomal RNA". It matches the Rfam family "Bacterial small subunit ribosomal RNA", at positions 87 to 334 of the family's 1533-position model. The record is from RNAcentral.